Molecule: ribosomal RNA, 577 nt
Filed under: uncultured bacterium
Lineage: Bacteria
Description: partial 16S ribosomal RNA
Rfam family: Bacterial small subunit ribosomal RNA
Source: RNAcentral
UGGGGAAUAUUGCACAAUGGGCGCAAGCCUGAUGCAGCCAUGCCGCGUGCGUGAAGAAGGCCUUCGGGUUGUAAAGCACUUUCAGCGAGGAGGAAGGUGGUGAGCUUAAUACGCUCAUCAAUUGACGUUACUCGCAGAAGAAGCACCGGCUAACUCCGUGCCAGCAGCCGCGGUAAUACGGAGGGUGCAAGCGUUAAUCGGAAUUACUGGGCGUAAAGCGCACGCAGGCGGUUUGUUAAGUCAGAUGUGAAAUCCCCGGGCUCAACCUGGGAACUGCAUUUGAAACUGGCAAGCUAGAGUCUCGUAGAGGGGGGUAGAAUUCCAGGUGUAGCGGUGAAAUGCGUAGAGAUCUGGAGGAAUACCGGUGGCGAAGGCGGCCCCCCUGGACGAAGACUGACGCUCAGGUGCGAAAGCGUGGGGCAGCAAACAGGAUUAGAUACCCUGGUAGUCCAGCGCUGUAAAACGAUGUCGAUUUGGAGGUUGUGCCCUUGAGGCGUGGCUUCCGGAGCUAACGCGUUAAAUCGACCGCCUGGGGAGUACGGCCGCAAGGUUAAAACUCAAAUGAAUUGACGGGGUC